AGUGAACGCUGGCGGUAGGCCUAACACAUGCAAGUCGAACGGCAGCACAGUAAGAGCUUGCUCUUACGGGUGGCGAGUGGCGGACGGGUGAGGAAUACAUCGGAAUCUACUUUUUCGUGGGGGAUAACGUAGGGAAACUUACGCUAAUACCGCAUACGACCUACGGAUGAAAGCAGGGGAUCUUCGGGCCUUGCGCGAUUGAAUGAGCCGAUGUCGGAUUAGCUAGUUGGCGGGGUAAAGGCCCACCAAGGCGACGAUCCGUAGCUGGUCUGAGAGGAUGAUCAGCCACACUGGAACUGAGACACGGUCCAGACUCCUACGGGAGGCAGCAGUGGGGAAUAUUGGACAAUGGGCGCAAGCCUGAUCCAGCCAUACCGCGUGGGUGAAGAAGGCCUUCGGGUUGUAAAGCCCUUUUGUUGGGAAAGAAAAGCAGCAGGUUAAUACCCCGCUGUUCUGACGGUACCCAAAGAAUAAGCACCGGCUAACUUCGUG
This 492-nucleotide ribosomal RNA is filed under the name uncultured bacterium. RNAcentral describes it as "partial 16S ribosomal RNA". It matches the Rfam family "Bacterial small subunit ribosomal RNA", at positions 29 to 507 of the family's 1533-position model. The record is from RNAcentral.